GCUCAAUGGAAUAAAAUUUAAAUAGCUGCAGUAUCAAUAACUGUACAAAGGUAGCAAAAUAAAUUAGCUUUUUAAUUAAAAGCCGGAAUGAAUGAUUUAAUGAAAAAAUAAUUUUAUUAAAUUUUUUAAUUAAAAUUUAAAUCUAAAUAAAAAUUUUUAGAUUAAUUAAAUAGACAAAAAGACCCUAUAAAAUUUUAUAAAUUUAAUUAAUUAUAAAUUAAAUUUAUUUAACUGGGGAAGUUAAAAAAUUUAAACAAUUUUUUUAAUUUUAAACAUUAAUUUAUGAAUAAUUUAAUUUUUUUAAAAAAUUUAAAUAUAAAUUACUUUAGGGAUAACAGUAUAAUUUUUUUUUUUAGUACUUAUAAAUAAAAAAGUUUAUAACCUCGAUGUUGAAUUAAGAUUUAAAUAUAACGAAAAUAUUAUAUUUUUAAGUCUGUUCGACU
Molecule: ribosomal RNA, 443 nt
Filed under: Ascogaster olethreuti
Lineage: Eukaryota; Metazoa; Arthropoda; Insecta; Hymenoptera; Braconidae
Description: partial 16S ribosomal RNA
Source: RNAcentral